RNAcentral lists this ribosomal RNA (254 nucleotides) under uncultured bacterium. RNAcentral's name for it is "partial 16S ribosomal RNA". It matches the Rfam family "Bacterial small subunit ribosomal RNA", at positions 1238 to 1500 of the family's 1533-position model. The record is from RNAcentral.
UACAGAGGGAUGCUACCGGGCGACCGGAUGCGGAUCUCGAAAGCCUGUCCCAGUUCGGACUGGAGUCUGCAACCCGACUCCACGAAGUUGGAUUCGCUAGUAAUCGCGCAUCAGCCAUGGCGCGGUGAAUACGUUCCCGGGCCUUGUACACACCGCCCGUCAAGCCAUGGGAGCCGGGGGCGCCUGAAGUCCGGGACCGCGAGGACCGGCCUAGGGCGAAACUGGUAACUGGGGCUAAGUCGUAACAAGGUAAC